UCUGGUUGAUCCUGCCAGUAGUUAUAUGCUUGUCUCAAAGAUUAAGCCAUGCAUGUCUAAGUACACACGAAUUAAAAGUGAAACCGCAAAAGGCUCAUUAUAUCAGUUAUGGUUCCUUAGAUCGUUAACAGUUACUUGGAUAACUGUGGUAAUUCUAGAGCUAAUACAUGCAAUUAAAACAUGAACCUUAUGGGACAUGUGCUUUUAUUAGGCUAAAACCAAGCGAUCGCAAGAUCGUUAUAUUGGUUGAACUCUAGAUAACAUGCAGAUCGUAUGGUCUUGUACCGACGACAGAUCUUUCAAAUGUCUGCCCUAUCAACUUUUGAUGGUAGUAUCUAGGACUACCAUGGUUGCAACGGGUAACGGGGAAUCAGGGUUCGAUUCCGGAGAGGGAGCCUGAGAAACGGCUACCACAUCUAAGGAAGGCAGCAGGCGCGUAAAUUACCCACUCCCAGCUCGGGGAGGUAGUGACGAAAAAUAACAAUACAGGACUCAUAUCCGAGGCCCUGUAAUUGGAAUGAGUACACUUUAAAUCCUUUAACAAGGACCAAUUGGAGGGCAAGUCUGGUGCCAGCAGCCGCGGUAAUUCCAGCUCCAAUAGCGUAUAUUAAAGUUGUUGCGGUUAAAACGUUCGUAGUUGAACUUGUGCUUCAUACGGGUAGUACAACUUACAAUUGUGGUUAGUACUAUACCUUUAUGUAUGUAAGCGUAUUACCGGUGGAGUUCUUAUAUGUGAUUAAAUACUUGUAUUUUUUCAUAUGUUCCUCCUAUUUAAAAACCUGCACUAGUGCUCUUAAACGAGUGUUAUUGUGGGCCGGUACUAUUACUUUGAACAAAUUAGAGUGCUUAAAGCAGGCUUCAAAUGCCUGAAUAUUCUGUGCAUGGGAUAAUGAAAUAAGACCUCUGUUCUGCUUUCAUUGGUUUUCAGAUCAAGAGGUAAUGAUUAAUAGAAGCAGUUUGGGGGCAUUAGUAUUACGACGCGAGAGGUGAAAUUCUUGGACCGUCGUAAGACUAACUUAAGCGAAAGCAUUUGCCAAAGAUGUUUUCAUUAAUCAAGAACGAAAGUUAGAGGUUCGAAGGCGAUCAGAUACCGCCCUAGUUCUAACCAUAAACGAUGCCAGCUAGCAAUUGGGUGUAGCUACUUUUAUGGCUCUCUCAGUCGCUUCCCGGGAAACCAAAGCUUUUGGGCUCCGGGGGAAGUAUGGUUGCAAAGCUGAAACUUAAAGGAAUUGACGGAAGGGCACCACCAGGAGUGGAGCCUGCGGCUUAAUUUGACUCAACACGGGAAAACUUACCAGGUCCGAACAUAAGUGUGUAAGACAGAUUGAUAGCUCUUUCUCGAAUCUAUGGGUGGUGGUGCAUGGCCGUUUUUAGUUCGUGGAGUGAUUUGUCUGGUU
RNAcentral lists this ribosomal RNA (1397 nucleotides) under Drosophila sechellia. RNAcentral describes it as "SSU rRNA". It matches the Rfam family "Eukaryotic small subunit ribosomal RNA", at positions 1 to 1320 of the family's 1831-position model. The record is from RNAcentral. Lineage: Eukaryota; Metazoa; Arthropoda; Insecta; Diptera; Drosophilidae.